This 490-nucleotide ribosomal RNA is filed under the name uncultured bacterium. RNAcentral's name for it is "partial 16S ribosomal RNA". It matches the Rfam family "Bacterial small subunit ribosomal RNA", at positions 30 to 507 of the family's 1533-position model. The record is from RNAcentral.
AUUGAACGCUGGCGGCAGGCCUAACACAUGCAAGUCGAACGGUAACAGGAAGCAGCUUGCUGCUUCGCUGACGAGUGGCGGACGGGUGAGUAAUGUCUGGGAAGCUGCCUGAUGGAGGGGGAUAACUACUGGAAACGGUAGCUAAUACCGCAUAAUGUCGCAAGACCAAAGAGGGGGACCUUCGGGCCUCUUGCCAUCGGAUGUGCCCAGAUGGGAUUAGCUUGUUGGUGGGGUAACGGCUCACCAAGGCGACGAUCCCUAGCUGGUCUGAGAGGAUGACCAGCCACACUGGAACUGAGACACGGUCCAGACUCCUACGGGAGGCAGCAGUGGGGAAUAUUGCACAAUGGGCGCAAGCCUGAUGCAGCCAUGCCGCGUGUAUGAAGAAGGCCUUCGGGUUGUAAAGUACUUUCAUCGGGGAGGAAGGGAGUAAAGUUAAUACCUUUGCUCAUUGACGUUACCCGCAGAAGAAGCACCGGCUAACUCCGUG